This 497-nucleotide ribosomal RNA is filed under the name uncultured bacterium. RNAcentral describes it as "partial 16S ribosomal RNA". It matches the Rfam family "Bacterial small subunit ribosomal RNA", at positions 28 to 507 of the family's 1533-position model. The record is from RNAcentral.
GAUGAACGCUGGCGGCGUGCCUAAUACAUGCAAGUCGAGCGAACGGACGAUAAGCUUGCUUCUCUGAGGUUAGCGGCGGACGGGUGAGUAACACGUGGAUAACCUACCUAUAAUACUGGGAUAACUUCGGGAAACCGGAUCUAAUACCAGAGAAUAUUUUGAACCGCAUGGUUCAAAAGUGAAUGGCGGUCUUGCUGUCACUUAUAGAUGGAUCCGCGCUGCAUUAGCUAGUUGGUAAGGUAACAGCCUACCAAGGCAACGAUGCAUAGCCGACCUGAGGGGGGGAUCAGCCCAACUGGAACUGAGGCCCGGGCCAGACUCCUCAGGGGAGGCACCAAGGGGAAUUUUGCCCAAGGGGGGGAAGCCUGGCCCGGCCAACGCGCGGUGGUGAAAGAAGGUUUCGGGUUGGAAAAACCUUUUUUUGGGGAAAAAAAAUAUGUGGAUAAUACCCCGCUGUUCUUGCGGGACCCAAAGAAGAAGCACCGGGUAACUUCGUG